Molecule: ribosomal RNA, 253 nt
Filed under: uncultured bacterium
Lineage: Bacteria
Description: partial 16S ribosomal RNA
Rfam family: Bacterial small subunit ribosomal RNA
Source: RNAcentral
UACGAAGGGGGCUAGCGUUGCUCGGAAUCGCUGGGCGUAAAGCGCACGUAGGCGGAUCUUUAAGUCAGGGGUGAAAUCCUGGAGCUCAACUCCAGAACUGCCUUUGAUACUGGGGAUCUCGAGUCCGGGAGAGGUGAGUGGAACUCCGAGUGUAGAGGUGAAAUUCGUAGAUAUUCGGAAGAACACCAGUGGCGAAGGCUGCUCACUGGCCCGGUACUGACGCUGAGGUGCGAAAGCGUGGGGAGCAAACAGG